UUAAUGAAUAUAAGAGUUUUACACAAUGAGCUACAAGGUUAAUGGCAGCGAAAAAAGCUCUAUCUAAGGCAGCAUGGUCUUGAUGCAGCUCCAAUCCACAGGGAUCUGACUCGGUUACGCUCCUAGACCGCAAAUGCUCUGUCUCCUUAGCGACGAACGACGGAUCCUUAUGUGAACCUGGCCACAUUAAAAGUCGCUGAGUACUUUUGAAUGUACUCGCAAGCGAACCAAACUAACAUAUACACCAAGCAAAGUAAUCCAUGGCAUUCAAGCAGGUAUUUGUUAUUAGAGCAAUAUUAAUCAUCAUGACAUAGCCUACCUAUCUAGCAAGGUUAAUUAUCAAGGUAUAACAGGGUUAUCUAAAUAGAUAACUUCUGAAGUAAAUGCUAUAAGGUAAAGCAUAUUAGGUAAAUGAUUUAUACUCCGACUAUUCUCAUGAUCCAGUCUGAAUCUGAUUCAAAUCCAACCCUACUGAUGUGGUCAUCCAACCACUCAUCUCAUAGCCAUCUCAUGGCUAACAUGUCAUAUACCGGACAUCUUCCGAUGUCUACACCAGACGAGUUCUUCCAUCAUUAUCAUCACUCUUACGGUUGAUCACCUACUGAGGUCUGGUCGUGCUGUCCAAUACCAUGGACUCGGCUAUUCGAAUAGAUUUUACACUCUGCAGAGGUUGCACACUUUACCCAGACUAUGGAGCACUCACCUCGAGAUCCCAAUCGGGUGGACCAGCAUUACUCGAACAAAACUUGCCUGAACCGUGACCCUCUCAUCAUAUCCCCGGAAACCACUCCCUUCCGGAGUCUUUCCCUCGGUGGACCUGUGUCCUCAUGACACCUACCACCAUCGUGGCCAAACAAAACUGUCCCAACCGGGGACGGGACCAACUCAACUUAACUGGGCUCACAGGGUUAUCAUCACCUACCUGAUCAGGGUAGCACGCAUGCAUAACCCCCCCCCCCUCUUUGGAGGUACCGGUGAGAGCGAUCACGUGAACAGCUCAAGUCACGGCCGUCCCAUAUCGGCAAAUGUGGUUGCACGAAAAAGCCCAGACAGGUGACUCGAGAUCAACCCAUUAGGUUUGGCUUAAACAACAUAUUUAUCAAGCAUGGUUGUUGUCAACAAUGACUUAACAUGAUGAUGAUUAUGCAUGAAAUAACAACGGUAGAAACACCACAACCUGUUUCUAUAUAAUGAGUCAUUAAUAAGACAUUAUGUAAAUGACAAGUUAUUACUUGAUGAUUUCUAACUGUAAAUUAGACCCUCGGAACCCUCGCAUAAAACCAACAAAUAAAUCGGUAGCCACCAGAACGGCUAUGACAACACAGAUCUGGGACCUUACCGGAAUAACUCAACCGCGGCUCAAGAUGGCUGGAAAGCAGCUCAGAGCAUGAUGUGGUGUUGAUAAUAAGAAUGUAGCAGUUCCCUAAGACGACCGAAGAACAGCUUAGAGCAUAGGGUCACUGCCUCGGAAAGAAAUUCAACAGCCCCGUGACGGCUGAAAAACAGCUCAGAACACGGGUCAGCGGCUGACAAGAGAAAUAUAAAGUUGGCACCCACCCCGGACGACCGAAAACAGCUCAGAAUCAAGCGUGGUUCCAUUAUUGAAGAAAAUGCGAGCAAGGGUUCGUCAGCAUCUCAUACAGAACAUUACUAUACACUCACACAUAAGCAUAUUGAAAUAAUAUGCAAGAACAUCGCAGAGCAAAGCUUUAGGGCAUAUAUCACAUGGUCGGCUUGCCUGGGGUUGAAGAAUACUCCCGGAAGAGGUGCUGAGAGUCCGCGGAAAGGAUCGCCAGACAUCGCUCUCUCUUGAAGGGGG
This 1819-nucleotide long non-coding RNA is filed under the name Hordeum vulgare. RNAcentral describes it as "long non-coding RNA (HVUL_LNC012398)". Lineage: Eukaryota; Viridiplantae; Streptophyta; Magnoliopsida; Poales; Poaceae. The record is from RNAcentral.